UACGUAGGGGGCGAGCGUUGUCCGGAAUCAUUGGGCGUAAAGCGCGUGUAGGCGGUUCAGUAAGUCUGCUGUGAAAGUCCAGGGCUCAACCCUGGGAUGCCGGUGGAUACUGCUGGGCUAGAGUACGGAAGAGGCGAGUGGAAUUCCCGGUGUAGCGGUGAAAUGCGCAGAUAUCGGGAGGAACACCAAUUGCGAAGGCAGCUCGCUGGGACGUCACUGACGCUGAGACGCGAAAGCGUGGGGAGCAAACAGG
This 253-nucleotide ribosomal RNA is filed under the name uncultured bacterium. RNAcentral describes it as "partial 16S ribosomal RNA". It matches the Rfam family "Bacterial small subunit ribosomal RNA", at positions 524 to 776 of the family's 1533-position model. The record is from RNAcentral.